AUCUUUGCGCUUGGGGCAAUGACGCAGCUAAUGAGGUACUAACCGAGGCGCGUCUAUUGCUGGUUGAAAACUAUUUCCAAACCCCCUCUUAGGCCUUAAGCUUGGCUAUGGCCUUCGAGAAUUUCUGGAAGGGCUCCCUUCGGGGUAAAGCC
This 152-nucleotide small nuclear RNA is filed under the name Brassica napus (rape). RNAcentral describes it as "snRNA U4". It matches the Rfam family "U4 spliceosomal RNA". From Rfam's summary of the family: U4 small nuclear RNA (U4 snRNA) is a component of the major U2-dependent spliceosome. The structure of U4 snRNA from yeast and human has been reported. RNAcentral also lists the same sequence under 1 other name. The record is from Rfam by way of RNAcentral. Lineage: Eukaryota; Viridiplantae; Streptophyta; Magnoliopsida; Brassicales; Brassicaceae.